RNAcentral lists this long non-coding RNA (892 nucleotides) under Prunus persica (peach). Its description in RNAcentral is "long non-coding RNA (PPER_LNC000200)". The record is from RNAcentral. Lineage: Eukaryota; Viridiplantae; Streptophyta; Magnoliopsida; Rosales; Rosaceae.
AAACAGCAAACAAAAUGUAACCACACAAUUAGAUACUCCAUCUUUUUCUUUUAUUUCAAGAACUUACAUAAGAUACCAUAGUAUUAUUCAAAGAAUUCUCCUAUUAAGAAGCUAGGGCUAGACGAGAAUAGUAUGGCAAAUUAAGGGACCUAGGUAAUUGGUGGCGGUAUGGGCCCGCCUUGUGGGGUUUCCCCAGGACACGGCCGGACCUGAUACUAGAAGUAUGGUAAUUAAGUAGGACAACCCUGCAAAAUUAUCAUGUUUAAUAUAUCUUUUUUAUUCUAGACUCAUCCAUGUAGAAUGCCUAGUUUGUAUAAACAGUUUAGGAUAGGAACUGCCUAUUAAUUCAUGGUGUGCACUUACAAACCCUAUCAAUUGUACUUUUUCUUUUCUUUUUUUUUUUCUUUUUUUUAAACGACCCGAAAACGAGCAUCCCACCUAAAAAAAGGACGAAGGGAAUAAAUUCAGACAGACAUAAAGAACAAAGAUGUCUCUGGAAUUCUGCUCUGAUUUAAACUAGCAUCACCAAAUUAGCCUUAUCACUACUUUAUUCCACCAUUGGCUGGCAAGACUAUCUGCCACCUCAUUCAAUAAAUCAAUUCAUUCUUAAACAAGUGAUCAAAUCUGUGGUCAUCUGCUGACAAAUACAAUUCAAUUAAGUCUUCACAACCUUAAAAUGCAAUAUCCCAGUUUCAGAGUCAAGAAUACCGCGCGCAUGCCCUAGAUCUUUUUUUUUUUAUAUAAUUAUUUUAUAAUUAUUAUUUUUUUUAUAACAAUAAAUAUUUUUUCUUCUCUCAAGGUUCAGGUUCAACUAAUUAUGUUGUUUUAAGUGAUCAUAUGUCCAGGGUAACAACGUUGUUAACCUUGAAGAAGAUAAAGCAAAGUAUGUUAU